Molecule: ribosomal RNA, 554 nt
Filed under: uncultured bacterium
Lineage: Bacteria
Description: partial 16S ribosomal RNA
Rfam family: Bacterial small subunit ribosomal RNA
Source: RNAcentral
UAGGGAAUCUUCCACAAUGGACGCAAGUCUGAUGGAGCAACGGCCGCGUGAGUGAAGAAGGUUUUCGGACCGUAAAGCUCUGUUGUUGGUGAAGAAGGAUAGAGGUAGUAACUGGCCUUUAUUUGACGGUAAUCAACCAGAAAGUCACGGCUAACUACGUGCCAGCAGCCGCGGUAAUCGUAGGUGGCAAGCGUUGUCCGGAUUUAUUGGGCGUAAAGCGAGCGCAGGCGGAAGAAUAAGUCUGAUGUGAAAGCCCUCGGCUUAACCGAGGAAUUGCAUCGGAAACUGUUUUCUUGGGUGCAGAAGAGGAGAGUAGAACUCCAUGUGUAGCGGUGGAAUGCGUAGAUAUAUGGAAGAAUACCAGUGGCGAAGGCGGCUCUCUGGUCUGCAACUGACGCUGAGGCUCGAAAGCAUGGGUAGCGAACAGGAUUAGAUACCCUGGUAGUCCAUGCCGUAAACGAUGAGUGCUAAGUGUUGGGAGGCUUCCGCCUCUCAGUGCUGCAGCUAACGCAUUAAGCACUCCGCCUGGGGGAGUACGACCGCAAGGUUGAAAC